UGAGUAACCUGCCCUUAACUCUGGGAUAAGCCUGGGAAACUGGGUCUAAUACCGGAUAUGACUCCUCAUCGCAUGGUGGGGGGUGGAAAGCUUUUUUGUGGUUUUGGAUGGACUCGCGGCCUAUCAGCUUGUUGGUGAGGUAAUGGCUCACCAAGGCGACGACGGGUAGCCGGCCUGAGAGGGUGACCCGGCCACACUGGGACUGAGACACGGCCCAGACUCCGUACGGGGAGGCAG
This 237-nucleotide ribosomal RNA is filed under the name uncultured bacterium. RNAcentral describes it as "partial 16S ribosomal RNA". It matches the Rfam family "Bacterial small subunit ribosomal RNA", at positions 118 to 351 of the family's 1533-position model. The record is from RNAcentral.